Molecule: non-coding RNA, 83 nt
Filed under: unclassified sequences
Source: RNAcentral
UCGUUCCCGCCGCCGGGCGGGAAUGGGAGCGUUUGCUUCGCGUCGUAGGCCUUUGAAGACGCGGGGUAGACGCAUUUUUUGUU